GAUUUCUGAUGAUAUAGAUUAAUUGCUUUAAAUGUCAAAAUUACAAGUACAAACACCAUUUAGCUUUUUUAACAAAACCCUCAUUUCCUCCCAUUUCUCACUGCCUCUCCUCUGUCUGAUCACAGUGUCACACACACAGUUAAUCCACAGCAUUGUUAACCUCUGUCAUGUAUCAUAACUCAGCUGUCUGUCCUACAGUAGAAGUUAAUCUGCUCCUUGUGUGUCUCUGCUCUCCCCUCCAGCUGGCCCCAUGGUCAGGCCCUCAGUUUCUCUGCUUCCCCCCUCCUCUCAGCAGCUCUCUGGGGGCUCGGCCACGCUGGCCUGCCUGCUGACCGGCUACUCUCCUCAGGGAGCCGUGGUGAGCUGGGAGGUGGACGGUAGAGAGGUGACAGAGGGGGUCCUGAGCAGCUCAGAGGAGGAGAAGAGCGGACGCUACAGCAGUAGCAGCAUCCUGAGCCUGAGCCAGGAGCGCUGGAUGGAAGGAGAGCUGUACUCCUGCAAGGUCCUCCAUCAGGACCACAGCCAGACCAAGUCCCUCCACAGGAGCCAGUUGGAUAGAUGCUUGUUCACAGUGCAGGAGGUUUUUGUACGGCCACUUAAUGAGUUUGUAUCACUGUGGUGGACUUUUGGUGGAGGAACCAAACUCAUCAUUAACUCUGGCCCCAUGGUCAGGCCCUCAGUCUCUCUGCUUCCCCCCUCCUCUCAGCAGCUCUCUGGGGGCUCGGCCACGCUGGCCUGCCUGCUGACCGGCUACUCUCCUCAGGGAGCCGUGGUGAGCUGGGAGGUGGACGGUAGAGAGGUGACAGAGGGGGUCCUGAGCAGCUCAGAGGAGGAGAAGAGCGGACGCUACAGCAGUAGCAGCAUCCUGAGCCUGAGCCAGGAGCGCUGGAUGGAAGGAGAGGUGUACUCCUGCAAAGUCCUCCAUCAUGACCACAGCCAGACCAAGUCCCUCCACAGGAGCCAGUGUAAGGGCUAGAGGGGCUGGCUGAAGCCCAGAACAGGAGCUGUGUCAGGGGGGAGCAGGAGGAACACACCUGCUCAUCUGAUCAAUAUGAGUUUUAAUGUCUGUAGAGUAAACUGAAGCUUUGUGUGACAAAGAACAACAACAACUUAGAGAGUAAUGUGUGUAGCUCAGCAGCUAGAUGUGAGUGUGCUUAAUAACUGUCCUGUUGAUGAUUGAUGUUUUUGCUAAUAAAGCUUGCACUGAUGAAAGAAAACAUUAUAAA
This is a non-coding RNA of Thunnus maccoyii (southern bluefin tuna), 1226 nucleotides long. The record is from the annotation of a RefSeq genome assembly. NCBI's taxonomy places the organism in Eukaryota, Metazoa, Chordata, Actinopteri, Scombriformes, Scombridae.